UACGAAGGGGGCUAGCGUUGCUCGGAAUCACUGGGCGUAAAGCGCACGUAGGCGGCUUUUUAAGUCAGGGGUGAAAUCCUGGAGCUCAACUCCAGAACUGCCUUUGAUACUGAGAAGCUUGAGUCCGGGAGAGGUGAGUGGAACUGCGAGUGUAGAGGUGAAAUUCGUAGAUAUCGGGUAGAACACCAGUGGCGAAGGCGACGAUCUGGACGGACACUGACGCUGAGACGCGAAAGCGUGGGGAGCAAACAGG
RNAcentral lists this ribosomal RNA (253 nucleotides) under uncultured bacterium. Its description in RNAcentral is "partial 16S ribosomal RNA". It matches the Rfam family "Bacterial small subunit ribosomal RNA", at positions 524 to 776 of the family's 1533-position model. The record is from RNAcentral.